AGUGAACGCUGGCGGUAGGCCUAACACAUGCAAGUCGAACGGCAGCACAGUAAGAGCUUGCUCUUACGGGUGGCGAGUGGCGGACGGGUGAGGAAUACAUCGGAAUCUACUUUUUCGUGGGGGAUAACGUAGGGAAACUUACGCUAAUACCGCAUACGACCUACGGGUGAAAGCAGGGGAUCUUCGGACCUUGCGCGAUUGAAUGAGCCGAUGCCGGAUUAGCUAGUUGGCGGGGUAAAGGCCCACCAAGGCGACGAUCCGUAGCUGGUCUGAGAGGAUGAUCAGCCACACUGGAACUGAGACACGGUCCAGACUCCUACGGGAGGCAGCAGUGGGGAAUAGUGGACAAUGGGCGCAAGCAUGAUACAGCCAUACCGCGUGGGUGAAGAAGGCCUUCGGGUUGUAAAGCCCUUUUGUUGGGAAAGAAAAGCAGCAGGUUAAUACCCCGCUGUUCUGACGGUACCCAAAGAAUAAGCACCGGCUAACUUCGUG
This 492-nucleotide ribosomal RNA is filed under the name uncultured bacterium. RNAcentral's name for it is "partial 16S ribosomal RNA". It matches the Rfam family "Bacterial small subunit ribosomal RNA", at positions 29 to 507 of the family's 1533-position model. The record is from RNAcentral.